GUCAUUUUUAUAAAUUUCCUGUUAACAAAACUUUGAAUUUUUCGAAAAACUAAGGAAUUUCUUAUCCCAGGCAUAGAUUACCUUAGCCGUAUUUGGCACAACUUUUUGGAAUUUUGGAUCCUCAAUGCUCUUCAACUUUGUACAUGUUUGGCUUUAUAAAUAUUUUGAUAUGAGCGUCACUGAUGAGUCUUGUGUAGACGAAA
Molecule: long non-coding RNA, 203 nt
Filed under: Mytilus galloprovincialis (Mediterranean mussel)
Lineage: Eukaryota; Metazoa; Mollusca; Bivalvia; Mytilida; Mytilidae
Source: RNAcentral